Molecule: ribosomal RNA, 498 nt
Filed under: uncultured bacterium
Lineage: Bacteria
Description: partial 16S ribosomal RNA
Rfam family: Bacterial small subunit ribosomal RNA
Source: RNAcentral
AUUGAACGCUGGCGGCAUGCCUUACACAUGCAAGUCGAACGGUAACAGGUCUUCGGAUGCUGACGAGUGGCGAACGGGUGAGUAAUACAUCGGAACGUGCCUAGUAGUGGGGGAUAACUACUCGAAAGAGUGGCUAAUACCGCCUGAGAUCUACGGAUGAAAGCAGGGGAUCGCAAGGCCUUGUGCUACUAGAGCGGCCGAUGGCAGAUUAGGUAGUUGGUGGGAUAAAAGCUUACCAAGCCGACGAUCUGUAGCUGGUCUGAGAGGACGAUCAGCCACACUGGGACUGAGACACGGCCCAGACUCCUACGGGAGGCAGCAGUGGGGAAUUUUGGACAAUGGGCGCAAGCCUGAUCCAGCAAUGCCGCGUGCAGGAUGAAGGCCUUCGGGUUGUAAACUGCUUUUGUACGGAACGAAAAGCCCCGGGUUAAUACCCUGGGGUCAUGACGGUACCGUAAGAUUAAGCACCGGCUAACUACGUGCCAGCAUCCGCCGCAG